UAGUUGCCUGAAAACAAGCUCACAGUGGAUUUAAGCCACUUCCUGGGUAGUUUGAACUUGUUUGUUUUUCACAUGCAUCAGAUCUACAUGGACAUGUCUCAGCAGAUGGGUGGCAACCUUUGACCAUCUUACUUGUUUGAUAUUAUGGCCCUUUCCAUGGCAACAGAUUGUGAUGUCAUGCACAAACAGAUUAUGAGGUCAAAAAGUGCCCAGGAUGGAGCUAGAAGAAGAUGUAGGAAAGAUUCUGAAACUACGUAAAUAUAUUUCAAAGUACCAAAAACAUCAAACCACCAGGAAGGUGAUCAUCAUGAACUCAGAUUACAAAUGGAGAAAUCAAGGCACAGGCUGUUUUUUCUACUUUGCCCAGAAAAAUGCUUUCAACAAUUUGAAAAUAAUCUUCCAUGUGUAUAGCAAAUCAAGACUAUUCUACCCAUUUAUAGAAGGAGAUAUUAAUACUAUAAGUAUUGAAUUGCAUUAAGUAUAGUUUUGAGUGUGAAAAGACAACAAGCUAGCUUGUAAUCAAUGAUUCAAGUCUGAACAUAACUUGAGACAUCUGCUAGACUAUCGUUUUAUAGACCUGGAGGUUACGUGGUCUCUCAGACUUCACCUUGAUUUGUGUUUUCUCCUUGUUAACAGAGAUAAAACAGCUGGAAAAUAGGAAGCUGAAGCCCAUCCUAUGUUCAGUUUCUAUAUUUUUCUGUUUCAUACAUUCAUCUCUAAAUACUUAGGUCCUACCUACACAACGAUGCACAUAGAUGUUAAAAAAAAAAAAAAAAAAAAAAAAAAAAGCAUUCUCUGCUCUUUCUUUUCAUGGAUAGACUGUCCCAGUGGUUAAUAUGAUCAUGAUUUUGUCAAAUUUAUUUAACUAAACUGAGCACUGCUUAAGAAAAGGACCCUCAGACAUAAUAGCAGUAUUUGUAUAGGUUGUUAAUGUGCUUGAUUUUAAAAGAACUCUCUCAAAUUCAGCACAUAACAGUAAUAUUGGGAGAUAACUAUUCAACAAAGAACAACACAUUUCAUUCUGGAACUAAAUAUUGUAGGAUAUUGUGAGAUCCAGAAGUUAUAAAAAUAUUCAAAAGGAUGGUGCAAUCAUGAACUUUUUAAAAUAAAUCUAAUCACAAACUCCACUUGAAGAAGUAUUCAAAUUGCUGGUUGCAUGAACCUGGAAGGGUACAGUGGGAGAAGAAUCGUUCUAUAUUUACCUUUUUUCCUAUAUGUACUAUUGGCUCCCACUGGGCAGAGAAUACUUGGCUAGAUAGUCUGCCUAAGGAUGUAAACUCUUGUGUUGAUGCUGGCUUUAGUAACUGCUGAAAAAUCUGAAAUCAAAGGAUUAGAGCUAUGCUUGAUUGUACUUUCAUUAUAAAGCCCUUCCUUGUUAAAUAAAGAGAUCACCAAGUUCCAAUGGACUCAGAUUUAUACUGUAUCUAUAAACAUAACAUUGUUUACAUCUUUCAUUUAUGAUAUUUCAACUAAAGUUGUUAUAAAAUCGCUCUGCUUUAGCGCUAUGUCAUAAAAUGGAAGCAUAUAUUACAUUAAGUAGUAAGGAGCUGUAUCUCAUUUAAAACACAUAACCACAUAAUUUCAUUGAUAUAUAUCUAUAGAUAUAUAUCUAUGAACAAUGAAAUUGCCCCAAAAUUAAAACCCUCCUGGCAGUGUAUUUGUAAACACAAUCAGCCCGUAAUCCAAUAAAGAGACUCUGCUUUGAAUUAAUGUGAAUUGCUUCUCUAUUCUGCCUUUACAAAUAUAACUUUUCAUCUGAACUUCCUGGUUCCCUCUCUUUGUUUCACUAAAAAUAAUUGUAGUGAUUUUCUUCCUCACUUGUAAACAGCAGAGGAAAUAUUUGAAAAGC
This is a long non-coding RNA of Phasianus colchicus (ring-necked pheasant), 1849 nucleotides long. RefSeq lists it as uncharacterized. NCBI's taxonomy places the organism in Eukaryota, Metazoa, Chordata, Aves, Galliformes, Phasianidae. The record is from RefSeq and is a predicted model, not a curated record.